CAUAGACUAAUUGGUGAAUACAAGUCGCACAAAAGAGCAUCAUGUUGGGACUUCUCAGUUUGCAGUAGGAAACUGGUCUUCAAUCAUCAAAUGUUCGUGGAUCAGUGGAUGUCUCCAGCGGAACAAAAUCCCUUUGUCUUCUUCUUCUCAAUUCUAAGUUCAGACUCGAAUGGCUAAUUGGAUUCUUUUCACCUUCAUUUCUAUAAAUGGGUGUGAGCCCUCUUCUACUCACGAUCCUCAUCACCCUCUCAUUCUUCCCAGGUACGUAAUCAAUCCAUCCUCAACUCCUCCACCUCUGUUUCUUAUUACUGAUCGAACAAACUGGUGUUUACUUGUUGGUUUCUUCGAGUGCAAAAACAGAGUCGACAUCGUUCGAGAUAGUCAACAACUGCAACUACACAAUCUGGCCCGGACUUCGCUCCACGGCCGGCUCAUCACUAAACCUGUCGACCACCGGCUUCACGCUCAAGAGCGGCGCGUCCUUCAACCUCUCCGUCCCCAAAUCCUGGACAGGUCAGGUGUGGGGCCGGACACUCUGCAACCAAUCCUCCACCAGAAACUUCUCAUGCUUCACCGCCGACUGCGGCACCGGAAAAAUCGAGUGCGACAGAAACGGUGGCAGUCUGCCGGCUACCCUAGCCGAGUUCUCUCUCAACCUCACCGGCGGCAUGGACUACUAUGACGUCAGCCUCGUCACCACUGGUGGAGCCGCACGGAGCAGGCAGCAGCAACUGCAGCUCUUCGGGAUGCUCGGUCGACUUGAACGGCUCGUGUCCCAGGGAGCUGAGGGUGGCGCGUGAGGGGAGCCAAGGGACCGUGGCGUGCAUGACGUCGUGCACGGCGUUCAAUAAUUCGUUGUUUUGUUGUACUGGGAGUGUUUUGCCGGAAAAGUGUGCCGGUACCGUAUACACCGAUUUUUUCAGACGGGAAUGCCCACAAGCGCAUGCCUAUGUGUAUGAUCCGAUCCAGACUUCUUCGUACACGUGUGCGUCAGCUAACUACAACAUUGUGUAUUUUUAUUUUUUAGAUAAUGACAAUUUACACAAGAAAAACAGAAACAACUUUAAUGUUAAAACUAUUUUUAAAGAUCAUCCAAAUGAUUCUCAAAAUUUCUUAGGGCUCGAAGUUUAUGUGAAAUGCUCUAAUUAUGUAUUGUAAUACAGUUUUUGUCACUUUGACUGUUUUAGGGUUCAAACUAAAUUGGAACACACCCAACUAGACAAGAACAACUAGGACGACUUGCAUAGUUUAGGUACUUGUACAAUUGUCACGUUUUAUGAUGUUCCAUUCAAGUUUCACGUAUGUUGUGAUGCAUCGUCUGAUUUCUAUGCAUAUUUGUCUAAUAAUACCAAGUGAACCAUAUUUUGAGGAAAAAUUCUAGUAUAACAUAUGGUAUAGUAUGCCUCACAAAAUGUGUGGCUAUCAUUGAUUGUAGAAACAAGUAAAUGAUCAUGUAAUGACCAUUUACCCUUUUAAAAGCUCUCAUGUGUCAUACAAUUAGACACAUUUACAAUAUGUAUGUAAUAUCAUAUGGUAUGAUAGACAAACACCAUUUUGAGAAACCAUAUAAAGCCCAUAUUUUGUUAAGACACAGUCACAUCAUUUAAUGAAAUAUUCUGAUUGAAUAAUGUAAAUGUCACUUAAGCUGAUACCUAAUGUUGGUUCGAGCUAGUUCUUUAAAAUAUGGUUAACUUAUCAUUGCUCUGAAAACAAAUAAAGUUCAUUCAACAUCACAAGUAAGAGCUAGGAACCCCUUGAUUAGUGUUGUGUUUUUGAAAGGGGACAUAACGCCUAAAUCAGUUGAUACACCAGUCCAAGAGCCGAUUGUAUACAAACGGUUCCUUUAGAAAGCAAAAACCACAAAAUAAAAAUUGUCUCUAUAGCAUCAAUUGCUGGGAUUGUCAAAGCACUAUUUGGGGAGAUUGAAUAAAAUUUAGAAUUAAAGAAGUAAUAAUUUUCGAAUUUGGGAGAAAGACCAUCUAAAUAUGUUUUGAGCCAAAAUAUCUUUCUAAUCACGAUUCCAAACCAGCUCUCUUGUCUUAAUCACCGCCAUAACACCUCAGCAGUAAUGAAACUAGAAAUAUUGAAGGCAUGAAGGAAAAACACUGAGAGCAAUUGCACCCAUGGAUGGAGGGCAAUCGCUGAUUUGCCAAUCAAAUUGGUACUGCUAAUCCACUAUUUAUCUAAAAUUGGCAAUUGCAUUUUGCUUGUUCAAUGCACCAAUUGGGCAAUUUACUUGCUAAUUUCAUUAUAAAUUAAUCAAUUCAUUUAUUUAUGAACUAAACUAAACUUAUAGUUUGAUUUGAUUAAUUAUUUUUAAAUUAUAAUAAUGGUACGUUAGUUAAUCUUAAUGAAAAAUUAUCUUAGGUAACAUUUGACAAAAUAAACGGUAAUUUUUAUAUAAAAAAAGGAGAAAGUUGUAGAACUUUGAUUAUGGAGUGUUUACUUCAUUUGUUUGACGGUUAUUCUAUAAUUGUUAGAGGGGAUGGUGGUUCGAGUCACCCCUGAAGCAUACUUUUUCCCAAAUCAAAACCAAUUUCCUUCUCUCCACGUGAUGGACAACCACUUUUAUGUGGAGCCCACCAGAAUUGGUCAGGCAAUUCAAUGGGCGAAAAUUAACAAUCCAAUUGCCCGGGCGGCUGGGUCCCAUGUGGGCCUUAGCAAUUGGUCGGGCAAAACUUUGCCGGUGCGAUGUUUUCUCUCAAUCAACAAAUCAGUCAUCAAAUCGAUCCAUUGGUGCAAAUGCUCUGACAAACUCAUUUUGAAAAUCACAAAAAAGUCUAACAUAACUUGACCGAUCCUUCCCACGCGUCCAAGAACCAUCAAAUCCAUGUUGAUCUUGACCUAACCAUUAAGAUUCACCUAUAAAAAUCUUUGAGGCACGACCCGGCUACGAUUAACGCCAGACAUCUUAAUUCGGUCUAUAUUAUCUGCAGCCAUGACAAAGACAAAUUGGCGUCUUCUUCUUCUUCUCAGUUCUAAUUAACUGGAAUGACUUGGAUUCUCACCUUCAUUUCUAUAAUGGGUGUGAGUCCUCUUUUACUCACGAUCCUCAUCACCCUCUCUUUCUUUUUAUCAGGUAAGCAAUCAAUCCGUACUCAACUCCUCCAUCUAUGUUUCUUAUUCAUCGAACAAACUUGUGUUUAGUGUUUACUUUUGGUUUCUCAGAAACAGAGUCAACAUCGUUCGAGAUAGUCAACAACUGCAACUACACAGUCUGGCCCGCAGUUAUCUCCUCCGGCACAGUAAACCUGUCGUCGCUGUCGACCACCGGCUUCACGCUCAAGAGCGGCGCGUCCUUCAACCUCUCCGUCCCCAACUCAUGGCAGGGUAGGGUGUGGGGCCGGAC
RNAcentral lists this long non-coding RNA (3349 nucleotides) under Fragaria vesca (wild strawberry). Its description in RNAcentral is "long non-coding RNA (FVES_LNC003829)". Lineage: Eukaryota; Viridiplantae; Streptophyta; Magnoliopsida; Rosales; Rosaceae. The record is from RNAcentral.